Long non-coding RNA from Lucilia sericata (common green bottle fly), 384 nucleotides. RefSeq lists it as uncharacterized. The record is from RefSeq and is a predicted model, not a curated record. The transcript is spliced from 3 exons. NCBI's taxonomy places the organism in Eukaryota, Metazoa, Arthropoda, Insecta, Diptera, Calliphoridae.
AAAUAAAAUCAAUUUAAAAGAAGAUUUCAAGAAGAAAAGCAAAAUAAACAACAAAAUGCAAGAUCUCAAAAUGAAUGAAGAUGCUAAGGAAGUGGCGAAUAAUUUCAAUUACGAAAAGGGCAAUAUUGGGUGCUGCUGAAUAUAUUAGAACAAAGAAAAAAUAAAAUGGACAACAAAACUAUAUGGAAGUUUCUUAUAAUUGAAGAUGAUCAGGACCUUUUAGCAAUACGCUCAAAAUUAUAUAUGGUGUCGUUAGUAAUGGGAUAUAACAUUAUUUAUGUUUGGAUUUAUAUGAUAAGGAUAAUCAUACGAAUAUUAUUGGCAUCGGCACCAGGAUCUUUUUUUUAAACACAUUCCUUUUAAAUAAUUGGACAACAUUUGUAA